UCUGAAGCUUGCUUACCUCCA
This 21-nucleotide microRNA is filed under the name Mus musculus (house mouse). RNAcentral describes it as "mmu-miR-6540-3p". Lineage: Eukaryota; Metazoa; Chordata; Mammalia; Rodentia; Muridae. The record is from miRBase by way of RNAcentral.